RNAcentral lists this ribosomal RNA (484 nucleotides) under uncultured bacterium. RNAcentral describes it as "partial 16S ribosomal RNA". It matches the Rfam family "Bacterial small subunit ribosomal RNA", at positions 30 to 507 of the family's 1533-position model. The record is from RNAcentral.
AUUGAACGCUGGCGGCAGGCCUAACACAUGCAAGUCGAGCGGAUGAAGGGAGCUUGCUCCUGGAUUCAGCGGCGGACGGGUGAGUAAUGCCUAGGAAUCUGCCUGGUAGUGGGGGAUAACGUCCGGAAACGGGCGCUAAUACCGCAUACGUCCUGAGGGAGAAAGUGGGGGAUCUUCGGACCUCACGCUAUCAGAUGAGCCUAGGUCGGAUUAGCUAGUUGGUCGGGUAAAGGCCUACGAAGGCGACGAUCCGUAACUGGUCUGAGAGGAUGAUCAGUCACACUGGAAAUGAGACAGGGUCCAGGCUCCUGCGGGAGGGAGCAGUGGGGAAUAUUGGACAACAGGCGAAAGCCUGGCACAGCGAGGGCAAGUGUGUUAAAAAAGCCUUCGGAUUGGAAAGCACUUUUAGUUGGGAUGAAGGGCAAUAAGUUAAAACCAUGCUGGUUUGACGGUACCAACAAAAUAAGCACCGGCUAACUUCGUG